This 301-nucleotide ribosomal RNA is filed under the name uncultured bacterium. RNAcentral's name for it is "partial 16S ribosomal RNA". It matches the Rfam family "Bacterial small subunit ribosomal RNA", at positions 509 to 808 of the family's 1533-position model. The record is from RNAcentral.
CAGCAGCCGCGGGAAUACGAAGGGUGCAAGCGUUAAUCGGAAUUACUGGGCGUAAAGCGCGCGUAGGUGGUUUGGUAAGAUGGAUGUGAAAUCCCCGGGCUCAACCUGGGAACUGCAUCCAUAACUGCCUGACUAGAGUACGGUAGAGGGUGGUGGAAUUUCCUGUGUAGCGGUGAAAUGCGUAGAUAUAGGAAGGAACACCAGUGGCGAAGGCGACCACCUGGACUGAUACUGACACUGAGGUGCGAAAGCGUGGGGAGCAAACAGGAUUAGAUCCCCCGUAGUCCCUGUCUCUUAUACA